GAGUCUGCUUACGGAGUGAUGCUCUCCUUCUAUAGAAGCCUAUUGUAUUAAUACAUAUCUGUGUCUGUGAAGUUGUUGCUAUCUAUUUCAGAGAAGAAGUCCUCACCUGGGAGUGCACCUUGGAAGCACGACAAUUGGGGGCUCGUCCGGGAUAAAAACAAAAAGAGGAUUCUUCAAAUUGGUUGGAAAAGUUCGGUCCAAGGGUGAAAGGUUGCGUUGAACAUCUGGCGCCAUAAAUAAGGUAAGCAGACCAUUAUUCUGCAUUGACUAUUCUAAAUCAAGGGUGUUCAACGUCUUAGUAACCCACAGACCGCUAAAAUUAAUUAAUUAAAUACAUAGUGACAACUUCCAUUUUUAUAAAAGGUACAGGAAAUAUGGUAUGGUUUAUGGAACAAAUAUGAGGAAAUAUUUGUGAAAGUCUGAGUUUGGCAACUCCACCCGUGUCCUGACGAGGAGCGGUUUUGGCUGGGUUGAAACACCCGAGAAUUGAGACAUCUUAAAAACAAAAAGGUUAAGUUAAGGUUAAUAAGGGUAAGUCCUCCAUAGUAGAGGUAAGUCCCAGGUAAUUGUAGGGGUAAGUCCUCCAUAGUAGAGGUAAGUCCCCCGGGGUAAGUCCUCCAUAGUAGAGGUAAGUCCCCCGGGGUAAGUCCUCCAUAGUAGAGGUAAGUCCCCUGGGGUAAGUCCUCCACAGUAGAGGUAAGUCCCAAAAGGAGUUGAAGUCUCCUAGGUAUGACUGGUGAACGAUUGUAUUAUUGAACCAUUUCACACUAUUUAGGUGAUAUGACAAAAUAAUCCAAUGUUCACAUGACUUGUUGGUUUUGGUGUCAGACAAUUGAGCUAGUUCGAUUGUCCAAAGGCUGAGAACCAGGGUAUAGCGAGCCAUAGAUCUCAGCUGGCCAAAAUCAUAGGGAAACUUGAUUUUGGUGUCAAAUAGGAAUAUUACUUUCCUGUUUAAGGGUUGAGAACCAGGGACAUAGUGUCCCAUAAAUCUCAACUGGCCACAAUCAAGGUUUAAAAAAAAAAAAAAAAUGAAAUGAAAAAUUGAC
Perca fluviatilis (European perch) is the source of this 1046-nucleotide long non-coding RNA. RefSeq lists it as uncharacterized. The record is from RefSeq and is a predicted model, not a curated record. The transcript is spliced from 2 exons. Lineage: Eukaryota; Metazoa; Chordata; Actinopteri; Perciformes; Percidae.